Molecule: ribosomal RNA, 498 nt
Filed under: uncultured bacterium
Lineage: Bacteria
Description: partial 16S ribosomal RNA
Rfam family: Bacterial small subunit ribosomal RNA
Source: RNAcentral
AUUGAACGCUGGCGGCAUGCCUUACACAUGCAAGUCGAACGGUAACAGGUCUUCGGAUGCUGACGAGUGGCGAACGGGUGAGUAAUACAUCGGAACGUGCCCGAUCGUGGGGGAUAACGAAGCGAAAGCUUUUCUAAUACCGCAUACGAUCUAAGGAAGAAAGCAGGGGACCGCAAGGCCUUGCGCGAACGGAACGGCAGAUGGCAGAUAAGGUAGUGGGUGGGAUAAAAGCUUACCAGGCCGUCGAUCUGUAGCUGGUCUGAGAGGACGACCAGCCACACUGGGACUGAGACACGGCCCAGACUCCUACGGGAGGAAGCAGUGGGGAAUUUUGGACAAUGGGCGAAAGCCUGAUCCAGCCAUGCCGCGUGCAGGAUGAAGGCCUUCGGGUUGUAAACUGCUUUUGUACGGAACGAAAAGACUCUGGUUAAUACCUGGGGUCCAUGACGGUACCGUAAGAAUAAGCACCGGCUAACUACGUGCCAGCCGCCGCCGUAA